UUCAUAAUUAACAGAGGGAUAUAAGGCUACCUACAGGUUCAUAAUUAACAGAGGGAUAUAAGGCUACCUACAGGUUCAUAAUUAACAGAGGGAUAUAAGCUACCUAUAGGUUCAUAAUUAACAGAGGAAUAAGGCUACCUACAGGUUCAUAAUUAACAGAGAGAUAUAAGGCUACCUACAGGUUCAUAAUUAACAGAGGGAUAUAAGGCUACCUACAGGUUCAUAAUUAACAGA
Molecule: non-coding RNA, 234 nt
Organism: Salvelinus sp. IW2-2015
Lineage: Eukaryota; Metazoa; Chordata; Actinopteri; Salmoniformes; Salmonidae
Source: RefSeq, a predicted model, not a curated record